GUGGGGAAUAUUGGACAAUGGGCGCAAGCCUGAUCCAGCAAUGCCGCGUGAGUGAUGAAGGCCUUAGGGUUGUAAAGCUCUUUCACCGGGGAAGAUAAUGACGGUACCCGGAGAAGAAGCCCCGGCUAACUCCGUGCCAGCAGCCGCGGUAAUACGGAGGGGGCUAGCGUUGUUCGGAAUUACUGGGCGUAAAGCGCGCGUAGGCGGCUUGACUAGUUGGAGGUGAAAGCCCGGAGCUCAACUUCGGAAUUGCCUUCAAGACUGUCUCGGUCGAGGCAGGGAGAGGAGAGCGGAAUACCCAGUGUAGAGGUGAAAUUCGUAGAUAUUGGGUGGAACACCGGUGGCGAAGGCGGCUCUCUGGCCCUGAUCUGACGCUAAGGCGCGAAAGCGUGGGGAGCAAACAGGAUUAGAUACCCGUGUAGUCC
Molecule: ribosomal RNA, 425 nt
Filed under: uncultured bacterium
Lineage: Bacteria
Description: bacterial SSU rRNA
Rfam family: Bacterial small subunit ribosomal RNA
Source: RNAcentral